CAGGUAACCUGGCAAGAACUGUACAGAGCAUGGAUCCUGGACCAGAUUUUCAUCCUGGAAGUGGCUAGUGUGAACUGAAUUUAUUGGUGCCUCAGUACAGAGGAUGUAUUAUAGGCCCUGCUAACGUUCCAUCUACCUUCUGGAAAGGUGUUCUUAAGGUGUUCAGUCU
This 169-nucleotide long non-coding RNA is filed under the name Anas platyrhynchos platyrhynchos (common mallard). RNAcentral's name for it is "lncRNA (ENSAPLG00000018256.1)". Lineage: Eukaryota; Metazoa; Chordata; Aves; Anseriformes; Anatidae. The record is from RNAcentral.